Aethina tumida (small hive beetle) is the source of this 569-nucleotide long non-coding RNA. RefSeq lists it as uncharacterized. The transcript has 3 exons. Lineage: Eukaryota; Metazoa; Arthropoda; Insecta; Coleoptera; Nitidulidae. The record is from RefSeq and is a predicted model, not a curated record.
ACCACCUUUUCUAAGUCUCUUUUAACUGCCACCAUACCACAAACUGGGGGCUCAAGCGGGAUUGUUAAAAUAGAAAAAGAAUCACUCGGAAAGUUUUUUUCUGAAAACGUCCCGAAAAUCAUCCGCUGAAGAGAAGAACGGAGCCGCGGGCGAGACCUAGACAAGAUGGCCGAACUGGAGGAAACCUUCAAAAAACAUUUCUUGGUGGAAUCCUGGAGAAAAUAAAUUUAAGCAUGUGGUAACACUGAUCAGAAGUUAGAGAGAGUAAUCUUUAACAGUAACGGAGUAACACGUGUUGUUCUAUGAUCUCAAAACACUCACGUGAGUUGACGAACUUUUCAAGAAGAAUUAGACCUUGCCAGAGGACGGAAACGUGAUGGAAUAAAAAUGAAAGGAGAGGACACGAGUGAAGGUAAUCAAAAUCAAAACGAUAUUGAGAACAUCAGGACGAGGGCAUGGACUUCGAAACAUGACUUAAAGAAUCGUCCGUUGUAAAACGGCAACGGCGCAGAGGGCGGGGCCUAGGCAGGAUGUUCGAAUUAAGUGUUUCCGGUUGCUGUCAAAAGAGA